RNAcentral lists this ribosomal RNA (253 nucleotides) under uncultured bacterium. RNAcentral's name for it is "partial 16S ribosomal RNA". It matches the Rfam family "Bacterial small subunit ribosomal RNA", at positions 524 to 776 of the family's 1533-position model. The record is from RNAcentral.
UACGGAGGGUGCUAGCGUUGUUCGGAAUCACUGGGCGUAAAGCGCGUGUAGGCGGUCCGUUAAGUCGGGGGUGAAAGCCCAGGGCUCAACCCUGGAAUAGCCUUCGAUACUGGAUGUCUUGAGUUCGGGAGAGGGUAGUGGAAUUCCCGGUGUAGUGGUGAAAUGCGUAGAUAUCGGGAGGAACACCAGUGGCGAAGGCGACUACCUGGCCUGUUCUUGACGCUGAGGCGCGAAAGCUAGGGGAGCAAACGGG